Molecule: ribosomal RNA, 468 nt
Filed under: uncultured bacterium
Lineage: Bacteria
Description: partial 16S ribosomal RNA
Rfam family: Bacterial small subunit ribosomal RNA
Source: RNAcentral
GACGAACGCUGGCGGCGUGCUUAACACAUGCAAGUCGAACGGAAAGGCCCUGCUUUUGUGGGGUGCUCGAGUGGCGAACGGGUGAGUAACACGUGAGUAACCUGCCCUUGACUUUGGGAUAACUUCAGGAAACUGGGGCUAAUACCGGAUAGGAGCUCCUGCUGCAUGGUGGGGGUUGGAAAGUUUCGGCGGUUGGGGAUGGACUCGCGGCCUAUCAGCUUGUUGGUGGGGUAGUGGCUUACCAAGGCUUUGACGGGUAGCCGGCCUGAGAGGGUGACCGGCCACAUUGGGACUGAGGUACGGCCCAGACUCCUACGGGAGGCAGCAGUGGGGAAUAUUGCACAAUGGGCGGAAGCCUGAUGCAGCAACGCCGCGUGCGGGAUGCCGGCCUUCGGGUUGUAAACCGCUUUCGCCUGUGACGAAGCGUGAGUGACGGUAAUGGGUAAAGAAGCACCGGCUAACUACGUG